Long non-coding RNA from Populus trichocarpa (black cottonwood), 1464 nucleotides. RefSeq lists it as uncharacterized. Lineage: Eukaryota; Viridiplantae; Streptophyta; Magnoliopsida; Malpighiales; Salicaceae. The transcript has 2 exons. The record is from RefSeq and is a predicted model, not a curated record.
AAUUCAACGGAAUCUCCAUGCAGACUGAAGAACCAAAUAAUUGUGAUGGGGGCUCCCAUGUCAAGAUCAACGGGCAUCAAUUGAUCGAUCGUGCUGCCAAAAGCAAAAACUAUAAAAUGUACUUGAAAACAUUACAAAAUAAACUAAUUUGCUCAGAUGUUUCAAUGUAGUUUUCGGUACUGUGGUGUCUCUAGUAGUUCACCAUGGAUUUCAACGACUGAGGUUGAUCUGUUCGCUUCCCAACCUGCCAACCCUUCUGCAGUUCCUUCUACGUUUGACUUUUUUUUUCCGGUGAUGAACCAGUUGUGCAACCCGAGAUCAAGACUCCAAAUCUGAUCCACCAAACACUAAUGUCAACGACCCAUUUGCUGCAGUUCCGAUGAACAAUUUUGAUGGUUCUGAUCUUUUUGGUGCAUUCACUUGUAGCUCCAAUCCAGCUUCUACAGAAUCAACAGAGAGUCCUGACAGUCUUAACAAUGUGGAUGGGGAGUCUUUGGCAAGCUCCAAUCCUCGACAAAAGGAGGGUUUUCAGAUGAAAUCUGGAAUGUGGGCAGAUUCACUAAGCCGUGGGCUGAUUGAUCUUAAUAUAUCUGCUCGUUAGCGUAUCUUUCCCACUUGCUAUUGUUACCUUUCAGAAACUUUCUCCAUAUGCAUGCUAAUUAAAUGCGAUUUACCUCAAUUUUAUUGUUUCUAUUUUAUGCUUUAAUUCAUGGGGUGAGAGGUUUUUUCUUCUUAAAACACCCAUGAACUAAUGGAUAGGUUCUCAAGAGUGGCUCACUAAGAAUCUUGUUUCAUCACAUAGAUAGGCAUCACCAGAACUGGUUGGAAGAGGCAAUAAUUUCUCCUCAGAACUUUACCUGUAUACAAUGACAUAUUGAAACUUUUGUUUUAACUUUUAACUUCACCGAUGUUUGAUGCGAGUGUUUUAGCGAGCUACCAUUUUUCUGUAGAUUUCUGGAUAUGAACUUUGAUUCUGCAUCUCCUGUCUGGCAUUUCUCUUUGUCAGUCUGCAAUACUUCAUCAACACUGCACUUCUUGCUUUAAGGCCGCCCAGUCAUAACUGUCUUGCCACUUGAACUCUACUUGCAGCCAAGAAGGUGUCCCUGGUAGAUGCUGGUGUCGUGGGUGAUCUUACUGAUGGACUAGAUGAAAGGGAAAAUCUGGGUUUACAUCUUCGCAGUCACAAGCAACUGGCGGAGAUGACUUCUUCUCAGGCCUUGGGGGCCAACAAUACCAAUUUGGUAGUUUUUAACAAGUAAAUUCUGUUAAUUUGCCAUCAUGUCCGCAUAUUUUUUUGCCCAUUUGGUAAAAAUAGUUGAAGUGCUGAGCAUAUUGGCGUGCACAUGGUGAUGUGAUUCCGCCACCGGUUUUUACUAGAACACAAAGAUGUCUUUGUAAAGUCGUCCACCAUUUUGGGAGUGCUGUUCGUACGUAAUUAAGAGAUCCAAUUUUGUUGUUUUUUCA